ACAACACCAGGGCCGUCGGUCUACCGAGCAAUAUCACUCGCUUGGUGGAAGGUCUCUUUGUCGU
This 64-nucleotide microRNA precursor is filed under the name Bombyx mori (domestic silkworm). RNAcentral describes it as "mir-2774 microRNA precursor family". It matches the Rfam family "mir-2774 microRNA precursor family". Lineage: Eukaryota; Metazoa; Arthropoda; Insecta; Lepidoptera; Bombycidae. The record is from Rfam by way of RNAcentral.